UACCAUACAAACUGAACGAUCGGAAUCAAGUUCUUGUAUGGAAAACUUUCACAUUUGACAAUGUAUCUUCAUCAAAUUUGGUAUAGAUUAUUUUCUAAGGCAACAAUGUAAUCUCCGAAAAAAUUGUUCAGAUCGAAGUACUAUAGCAUAUAGCUUCCAUACAUACUGAAUACAUAGUUACUAAAAGAAAUGCACCUGUGAAGGGUAUAUUAGCUUCAGUGCAGCCGAAGUUAACGUUUUUUCUUGUUAUAUUUCAUAACUUGAAAUAAUCCAAUAUGUUUUAUAUCCAACAGUGUAAAUCUCAUAGUUCUUAUAUAGUUUAUGUUUUCUAAAUCACGUACAUAUGUCAAAAGCCCUUCUGGGUACCCUGUAUUUCAAACAAUUUAUUCCAAGAAAGCGGAAUCCCGCACAUCUUGUGUUAAGGAGCAAAUCCAGUGUUAUGUCAAUAUAAAAUCAAUUUUUUUUUAUAAAAAAAUAAAAUUAUAAGGUUAUAUAUUGUCACCAAAAUUCAAAAAUAACUUAAUAUCACUUUUCAUAAGUUUACAGGCAAAGGUAAAACGAUGUAAAAAUCCACUCAUAUUGGAACAAAAUUUGAGUUUUGGUUAUAAAAUGGUUAUAUAUUGCUUAUAUAGUGGUUAUAUGUUGGUUAUAUAUUGUAGUGAAAAUUUUGCAAAAUCACUGAUUGUGAAAAUUAGCAGUUCAUUAGGAAGGGGACCAGAAUUCCUUUUUUGUGAAAGUUAUUGAAAAAAAUUUUAAAAUUAUUUUCUAAUAAAAUACUGGAGAUAAAUCUGUAAAAUUUUUAAAGUCAAAGAAAAAUCUUUGUGCUACAUCAUACACAUUUUUCACGAUCCAUUUGUUUAAAUAAUAAUAUCUUUUGAAUUUUUAUUUAAUUUUUUGCUAAACAAUUGACAUUUUUUGCGUGUUCUUUACGCUAAAAAAAUUCUUGUUGUUCAAUUUAGAAGGCUGCAACUCAAAAGCUAUUGGAAAUAUCUACUAAAAGUUUCAGUAACAUAGUUUUAAAAAUAUAGAUCACCAAUAUGUAAAAAAAAUUAAAAAUUUCACACAAAGUCAAAAGAUUAAAAAAGAUUAUAUCAUAUUGAAAUAUUCUAAAUUAAAAACUGCUUCUUAAGUUCUUAUAAUUUCUUUUAACUAUUUCUUAAAAAAUUAUAAUUUUCUAAAAAGCUCUAAAAAUUUCUGCAAGCGCUUGGUAAAGUAAGGAGGAGAGUCCUGAACGAGAAUGUUAAAAACAGAGUCUUAUAACUGCAAGUUUUUACAUUCAUUAAAAUAGAUUUAUAAAUUUUCAUUUCAUAUUUUCACCAAAGCGCAUUCAGAAGUUUAAACCACUUCACUCCUUUCAUUUUGCAACUACUCCAUUUCCAUUUCUCAGAGAUUUUUUGUUUCGAAACACAGCUUUGCUCACAUUCAGAAUUCCAACACUCGUUAGCGAGCGCUCAGUUGCCUUUUAUUAUUGUAAUGCUUUAUCACAAAAUUCAUUUUUUAAUGAAUAAAAAUCAAUUAUAUAAAAUGCAAGAAUAAAAAAAGAAUUAAAGAAAAAAAUUUAAGCCAAAAAAAGUAUAUGCCUGAAGUCUCAUAAUCGACAUCAUAACAUUUACACGUCAAACGCGUUUAAUGAGAAGAACAUAAGUGUCAUAGCAAUAUGCAAAACAUAUCAUAAAUGUUGUAAUUUACUGUGUUAAUGCUAAUGUGGUGGAUGCACACAACUCCAAAUGAACUCAUACAUAUUAUACAUACAUACAAAUACCGAAUAUAAGUGCACCAAAACCAAUACCGUUAAUAUCUACGUGUACAUACUUGUAUUUAUGUAUUUAAUAGUAAUAAUAAAUGGCGACAAGCGCCAAUGUACAUACAUAACUGUAUACACAUCCAAAAAUAUCUAUGUACCAUAUACGCCAUUAAUACAUGAAUACAACAUAUGUGUGUGUGUGUGAGAAGUUGAAAUCUUAAGAAAUAUGUUUAAUUGGUGUACUUUGUAUUUGUGACGCAAUGCAAAUAAAGAUAACGUAUGCAAAGCAAAACUUUACGCAGGUGAACCUGAACCAAAAGCAAAACAAGAACAAAAACGAAAACAAACGUUUCCUUCGGCCUACAACUGCCACCGAGGCGUAUACGUAAUGUAGCACACUGCGUAUGAGUAAUUAAACAGCGCGUCGGCGGUGCGUGCGUGUAAGAUAUGUAAAUGUGUUUGUGUCUAUAUCCGUUCGGCAAUCUAACGUCACAGUCGACGUGGCGGCACGGAGCCGGAGAAAGCGGCGGCAAGCGCCAAUCAAUGCGUGUGUAUGUGGAAGGUCACAGCACCCACACUCACGAAGGCUACAUAAUGCUAAUGUGUGUGUGUGUGUGUGUGCAACUCGUAGAUGUCACAAAAAUGUCAAGUGUCACAUAAAUGUCAGCGCAAAGCAAAGAAGAGUUGCAUAACGCAAUUUUAUUUAUAUGCAAAAGAUAAAACGGAAUAAAUUUCCUGCCACGGCAACACACACACCCACACAUACACAGCUGCGCUGGCGAAGUGAAAGUAGUUGGAGCUGAGCAUUGAAUUUAGGCGUUGAAGUGCUGGCUUAUAUACGAGGAAACGAGCAUUACGAAUUACCAUAAAAUUCAUGCAUUUGCGUGACUUGGCAGUUUGCUCGAAAUAAAAGCUGGCAAUGUUGUUUUGUUUUUACUGUACUUUUUUAUAACUUUUUGUACUUGUACUUGUUGUUGUUGCUGCUAUUGUUAUACAAGGAAAUAAUUGUACGCUUGUGCAUUUGUCAGUACAUAUGUAUGCGUGCGUUUCAUGUCUAACUGCAUUUGGUUACCGUUAUAUAUAUGUAGUUAUAUACCGUUUACCACUUCCCCAAUUAAUUCAGUUUUCAAUUGUACUAAAAGAGUUUUCCAAUUCAUUAUAUUUUAGUGCCGAUAAUAAAAUUAUAGUUACUUUAUGGCCUUGUGAGGAAGUUUACGAACAUGUGUUCGUAGGUGACGGGAUAUGGCAAAGGAAAUCACCCGAAAUAAUAAAUUUAUAUUUUUAUAAGUCAUAUAUAAAUAAAAGGUGCUCAUUCAGCUUUAUUUUAAAUAAGUAUUUGUAAUUUUAAUGAUUUCGUAAGGUAUCUAUAAGAGAUUUAGACCAGAAACAAACCAGUUAUCUAUACCAUAUAUAUAACAGAAACGAACCAUCUAUUUAAUUGAUUUCAGAAAAUAUAUAUACCAGAUGAAAACCAGAAACAAACCAUCUAUACCAUAUAUAUAACAGAAACAAACCAGUUAUCUAUAUCGUACAUAUACCAGAAAGAAGUUAGUUAUCUAUAUGGUAUAAAUACCAGAAACAAACGGGUUAUCUAUAUUAUAUACAGACCAGAAAGAAAUCAGUUUCAUACCAGUUCAAGGAAGGAAAAAUGAAAAUGGCGUCAUUAGAGCUCCCAAGAGGUUAUUUUUGAACUUUUAGGUAUAAAGCUUUGCUAAAGAAAGAACUUUUUUGUUUAAAUUAAUUUAUGUAAUGAGGAACAUAUACAUUAUGACUGCCUAAUGAGAGGCGAUUUUUGUGAUUUAGAAAACUCGUAUUCGUGUAUUUUCAAAUUUUAGGAGUAAAUUAAUCAUUUUUCGUAUUAGACGCGAUCUCAGAAGUUCAUAAAAAAGGUCUUCACUGCUGCAGUGAGUUUGGCCUUCUUCGUAAAUUACACCGCAAAAUACUAUCCGCAGAAAAUAUAUCGGUUUAAUUUUUUUUUUUAAUUGAAGACUAACCGAUAGAAAGGUUAUAAUUCAAAAGACUGUAACUCAAAAAAUUUGUUCUUACAAAAUUUCAGUAUAUGGCACAGAAAAACUUUAAAUAAUUUAUAAAUUCGGGUUUUACAUAUCGUCACCUAAAAUUUAAAGAGAAAACGAUAUAAUAGAAACCAAUAAUAUUAAAAUGAAUUUUGAGUUUUGGUUAUAGGAGGGGUUAUGCUAUCAUAUUGAAAAAAUUACAAUUUUCGUUAUAAAAUGCUUACAUACUGGUUAUUAUAUCUGUUAACGAUUUUCAAUUUUUUUUGUUUUGAUGAUACGUUGUUUUGCAUUUUAGGUGACAAUAUAAUCUGUUGUAUACCUUUAGGCUGCUACCAAGUAUAUGGUGUUUAGUACACUACGUCAGAUCUAACGAGUUUUCUGACUCAUUUCGAUGAUGAUAACGUUAAAAUGUUUUAUUUUAGCUGUUAUUAGAGCCGGUUAGGCUUCAGAAGCCUCUUAAGCAAAGAAACAGAACAUGUUUAUUUUUAGUUUUCCUUAGAGAUGUUUGGUCUUCAAAAGGCUCUUAAACACAAUUCGUCCAUCAUAUAGUGACACUAAUUACUUGAAUACCGUGAACAACAGCAACAACAACAGCAUCACCGGCAGUAAAUACCAGUAUAGAUCUUCAAACAAAAUUUUAUUUUUAAAUAAAUUUAAGAAACGCAAAAGAAAACUUUAAUAUUUUUACCAAAUCGGUUCAAAAGUGCAGCAGCCAAUGCAUUAAUUGUCGAAGAAAAUUAAAUCGGACGGCAGGACAAAUUUACCAGUGCAUUCAUGCCUACAUAUAUUUGCACGCACACACGCAUGAGCUAAUUAAUUUUAUUAAUUGAGCAUUAAAUUGGCUGAUAGAUUGACAAAUAACGAAAAAAAACGUAAUUUUUGCUAACAAGCGGCCGCCGGCUAAAUCUAACAAGAAAUAUUAUUACACAAGCGAACUGAAGUACACAAAAGAACAAAUGCAUAAUGCGUUGAGAAAUGAAUAUGCGCAAUUACAAUUGCAAUUACAAAAACCAUUUAAUUUGCAAAUUUUAUAAAACUACACAUCACUCACAUAUACAUACGCACAUUGUCAUCGCAUUUUAUUUGGAGAUACAGAUAUACCAAAAUCCAACAAAUAAAUAAAUAAACAAACAAGAAUUGAUGUAUUAAAACACAAAAAAAGCAUACAUAAACAUACAAACAUUCCAAAAACAAAAAAACUUUUUUUGCAUAAAAGGAAGUAAGCAGAAAUAAUUAUGCCAUACGAGGCUGCAUACAUAAAUUAAUUAAAUUAACGGUAUGAGAACACAAAAAGUCGACACUACAUAACAAAAACAAAACAAAAACAAAAAUUAUGCGUAAAUUAAAAAUAAAAUUUUGUAAAAAAUACACAAAAACUUAAUGUAAAAAAGUAAAGAUUAAAUAUUAAAUAUAUAUAUAUAUAUAAUAUACAGCAAAAAAUUAAAUAAAUAUACAAAAAAGAUAUUAAUAAAUAUACAUACAUACAUGCAUAGCUAUUGUGCAUACAGCCAUAAGUAAAUGUAAUUGAAAUAUGAACAAACAAAUCGGCAAUUGAUAGCAAAACACUAAAUAUUCUUAUAAUAAUAAAAAACUGUAACAAAUGUAAAAACCAACCGACAACAAAAUGAAUAGCAGUUAAAUUUAAAUGACUGUAAAAAGCAUGCGUGCGUAACAGAAAUGUGAAAAACUUAAAUAAACAAGCAAAUAAAACAACAAACAUAAAUUAAAGUGGAGAAGCUGCAGUAUGCGAAUAUUUAUUGUGGAUAUUCAAAAGAAAUAAAUGUUAAAAAAUCUGAA
Molecule: long non-coding RNA, 5556 nt
Organism: Bactrocera neohumeralis
Lineage: Eukaryota; Metazoa; Arthropoda; Insecta; Diptera; Tephritidae
Exons: 2
Source: RefSeq, a predicted model, not a curated record